RNAcentral lists this long non-coding RNA (785 nucleotides) under Androctonus crassicauda. The record is from RNAcentral. Lineage: Eukaryota; Metazoa; Arthropoda; Arachnida; Scorpiones; Buthidae.
CCUGGAUUGGGGGAUAGCUGGGCGGUGACUGUCUGUCUUUUCCCUAGUUUGUCAUUCUUAUGGAUGAUUUGAAACUCUCUUGGAUACAACUCAUUCUGGAGUGUGCUUCUCUGUCUCUUCGUGGGGGUGGUGGUCUCAGAGCCUCUUCGGAGGGUACCGAGCUCACCGGUGUGCCUCGGAAGUGGAGCGAUCUCCUGGUGUUGGUGGUGCCUCCAGAAGUAAAUCUGGUCCGCGGAAGGCUCAUUUUUCUGGAGCGGCUAGAUGAAAGCAGAGGAAGGCUAGAAGGUAGGUUGCUGGUACCGGUGGUAUUUUGCUACCAGGUGGCUCCUCUCAAUUAGUUUUUCUGUCUAGAUCAUCUGCUGUUACUUUUGGUGACAGCAGGGGUUCCAGAUCUGUGGUGUCUAUUCCAUCAUUUGAGGAGACGGGGCCUUCGAGGGGAUCUUGGCACUUUCAGCCUGGGACUUGUUCGGAGGCUGCGGCUUCUCUUCAGUUGGUCUCAUCAAGGAGGGUUAUCCGGACUUCAAGAUGAUGGCUGCUGAAGUGGAUCUUGUUUUAUGAAAAAUCCUGAGUGGCGUCGAUAGGACCUUUCUAGAGAGACUUUGCCGCUGCUCGGGGGCUAUUCCUUAAAUAAUAGUGCACUUGUUUAUACGUGUAUGAAUCAGUUCAUCAGUCAGUGGCUCAUUCAGCUUUUGGAUGGGUGUAUGCUUGGGCAGGGGGUCCGUUUAAGGGUUAUCCCUGCGAUGAACCUGUCCAAGCCCGUGAAGGUGGCUUAUCGUACUGCGGAU